Molecule: ribosomal RNA, 253 nt
Filed under: uncultured bacterium
Lineage: Bacteria
Description: partial 16S ribosomal RNA
Rfam family: Bacterial small subunit ribosomal RNA
Source: RNAcentral
UACAGAGACUGCAAGCGUUAUUCGGAUUCACUGGGCGUAAAGGGUGCGCAGGCGGCCAAGUGUGUUAGGCGUGAAAGCCUGGGGCUUAACCCCAGAAUUGCACCUAAAACUACAUGGCUAGAGCAUUGGAGAGGGUAGCGGAAUUCACGGUGUAGCAGUGAAAUGCGUAGAUAUCGUGAGGAACACCAGAGGCGAAGGCGGGUCUCUGGGCCGAAAUUGACGCUGAGGAGCGAAAGCGUGGGGAGCAAACAGG